This 542-nucleotide ribosomal RNA is filed under the name uncultured bacterium. Its description in RNAcentral is "bacterial SSU rRNA". It matches the Rfam family "Bacterial small subunit ribosomal RNA", at positions 224 to 783 of the family's 1533-position model. The record is from RNAcentral.
GAGCGGGCGAUAUCGUACCAGCUAGUUGGUAGGGUAACGGCCUACCAAGGCGACGACGCGUAGCGGGACUGAGAGGUCGGCCCGCCACAUCGGGACUGAGACACUGCCCGGACUCCUACGGGGGGCUGCAGUAACGAAUACUGGGCAAUGCACGCAAGUGUGACCCAGCGACGCCGCGUGUGGGACGAAGUCCUUCGGGAUGUAAACCACUGUCAGGGGCAAGAAAGUUCUGAUCUGCCCCAGAGGAAGGCACGGCUAACUCUGUGCCAGCAGCCGCGGUAAGACAGAGGUGCCAAGCGUUAGGCGGAAUCACUGGGCUUAAAGCGUGUGUAGGCGGAACGUUAAGUGCCUUGUGAAAUCCCACGGCUCAACCGUGGAACUGCUUGGCAUACUGGCGUUCUUGAGCUGCCUAGGGGUCACUGGAACAAACGGUGGAGCGGUGAAAUGCGUAGAUAUCGUUUGGAACGCCCAAGGUGAAAACAGGUGACUGGGGGCAAGCUGACGCUAAGACACGAAAGCCAGGGGAGCAAACGGGAUUAGAU